GAAAAAGAGAGUUUUCCUCCUUCCCUGCAAUAACCAGAGCUCCAUGAAAACAUGUUUGACUAAAGAAGGAGAGGAGAUUUGUGAAUAGGUACAAAAGAUCCGUGAGAGAAGCAAGAAUCAAGGAAAAUUUUGCAAAACGAGCAAAUGAAUCGCAGAGUUAGGUUUAGAAUUGGAAUUUUGGUCAAAUGAAGUAAAACCAACCAACAGAAAAUAGACAUUACAAAUAAAACAAACUAACCCGAUUCACUGUCAACUAAAACCAAAUUUUUUAUUCGGAUGGAAUUUGAAUCAAUCAGUUUGGUCAGGUUAUUCAUUCCGUGAAACAAGGUAUGAUUUAAUUAUCAAAAUAAAGAGUAACAAAAACAAAACACUUCAUUCAUGUACUCUUCAUUUGAAAUCAAAAAUUUUACAAAAAUUCAA
This 420-nucleotide unclassified non-coding RNA is filed under the name Hevea brasiliensis (rubber tree). The record is from RNAcentral. Lineage: Eukaryota; Viridiplantae; Streptophyta; Magnoliopsida; Malpighiales; Euphorbiaceae.